Long non-coding RNA from Hirundo rustica (Barn swallow), 6335 nucleotides. RefSeq lists it as uncharacterized. The transcript is spliced from 3 exons. NCBI's taxonomy places the organism in Eukaryota, Metazoa, Chordata, Aves, Passeriformes, Hirundinidae. The record is from RefSeq and is a predicted model, not a curated record.
GCUCAGCCCACUGCCUUGCUGCCAGGGCUUGAGGCAGCUCUCUUUUACUUAGCAGGUGGUGAAGGGCUCGGAGGAGAGUGGCAGGCAAGAGAGAGAGGUGAUCUCCUGGGCUGUCUGCAGCCUGUGGGUGUGUGCUGGCCUGCCACCACAAGCAGGGGAGACUGGGCUACCUGCAGCAUUCUGAUGGAGGAGCAGGAGGGGCUACAGAAGGUGAGAGUGCUGGCGGGUUCAUCCUGGAAGCAUACAGGACAAAGAGGAGGAGCCUGGAUGCUGUCUGAGCAUGGAUGCGAGAUGGUGGGGGCAUGUGAAUCAUGAAACACUGGCCCAAUUCCUGCCAGCUUCUGCGAGAUGCAUCUGACUUUGUUCAUGCGAGCGAUGCAGGUCAGCAGAGAGCUCAAGGCAAAAUUCCAAGAGUGCUGGGGAUCCUGAGGUCUCCUUUCGGAUGAAAUACUUGCGCUUGAUAUUUAAGCACUUGAAGUUGCAGUUGGUCACUUUACCAUCUUAUACCUUCUGAGACUUCCUUGUAGGUGUCAUAAAGUCUCGAGAUGCCACCGAGAAUAAAAUCCUCAUCCUACAAGCCACUGUUAUGUAACCGUGUGUUCUGCCAAGUCAUAAUUGGAGGGGGGCUCUCAGGUUCCUGAAUGUGUUUGGUGCCUGCUAGAGUGGCACAAUCCCUAGGCUUGGAGCACUGCUGGUGCCCACUGGAUUUUGUGGUACUGAGGAUGCUCAGCUGCUGCAGGGACAGUGCUGCUCCGGGGAUGUGAUGUCUUCCCAGGUCAAGCUCUGAAACACACCUCAAUGUAAAAAAACCUCUCCAGUGAACGACUGUAGAGCUACUUUCUGGUUGGUAAGAAAAAGCAACAGAGGAACUGUAUGAAGGUUAUAAUGCUGUAACAUGAAGGCUAUAAAAACAGAGAAAGACAGACUAGACCAGCAUUCCAGUAGUUUUCCCCUGAAAGAGGAAGGUGAGAGAGCCUUAUGAGGGCAGGAGGGCUCCGGCAGGCGAUCUGGCUUCUGUAGCCACUGACCACGUCUGUUUGCUGCGGGGAGGCACAGGCUGUCUGAGGAGCCCAGAUGAUGCUGACCAUCAACGGGGAAGAGGAACAACAUGAGGAGCCCUAUGCUGCCUUUAAUCCUGAAACCCAGGACUGCAGGUUUUAUCAAACUCCUUAAUUGCUUUACUUUGAGUGAGGCUUUUACAUUAUCUGCUGAAUUUAGUUGCCAUUAGGGUCAGUCGAAGUCUGACUAUUGAUUCAGUUGUAAAAGGACAAAGACCUAUGCUGAAUGUGCUUUGAAAUUCCCACCACUUAUGCGUAAGAACAUAUGUUAGAUAAGUGAUGUCACUUCUGACUGCUUGUAAACUUUCAAAAUAGCAUUAGACCUCUAAGAAAAAAAAAUGGGUAAUCCUAGUCCUUAGUUUUUGAACUGCCUCUCUGAAAAUGGCACUUAAGGGCAAGAUUUCCUGAAGGAAGGGGAAAAGGAAGAGGAGCUGUUUCUGAUUAAUAGUGCCCAAUAACUAUGGGCAAGGUCAACGUGUGUCAUACAGCCAGGACUGAAGAAAAACAUAGUGUGAAGUGUUUUGGCAUUUAACAAACACUUUAAAAAACUCUUCUGAAACAGAAACACACCCCCCCCCCGCCCCCCGCCAAAUUACUGAUCUGUUUGGCAAUGCAUUUCACAACUCACACUAGCAUACAAAUCCUUCUGGUGGACCAAGUAUCUUUAGUUCUGGUUUCGUGUGGCAUAAAGAGGAUAUAGCUGGAAUCUUUCUUGCACGUGAGUGGUUUCAAGGGUGGUGAAGACAAGCAAGAUUGCAUUUAGAGAAGAUGAUCUUUAAAGAAAAUGCUUCUUGUCAGGCCUUGUUAUCAGCCAAAUGGAUUGAGAUAAGGCAAGCAAUACUGUCUGCUUAGUCAAAUUGAGCAACAACAUCCCUUGAUUGUCAGAGCUGAAUCAGCAAAUAUGAAAAAGCUAAAUACAGCCAACCCUACACUUACAACCCACUUGUGGUUUUCACGCUGACAACCUAGUCACUAAGUAUAAAUGGUCCUCCCACUACUGGUUUGUCUGCAUCUCAGGUUAUAUUCAGGCAUAUGACUGCAUCUCUAGCCUUGCAAUCUUAACUCAUUUUUUAAAACUGAACAAGUACGUUGGCACUUUCCAACAGUGCCAAGUAUUUCUGCUAGAGUAUAUUCUGGAGGAUUCAUGUAAUAACAAACAUGUGAAGGAUUUCUCAUAUGAAAGACACUUGCCUAUAAUAAUUUUUUAGCUCCAAAGUGGGAUUAGUUUUGUUCUAUAAAUGCUUAAAAUCUAAACCUAUAUAUCUCCAAACAUGCAGUGGCCAGAACUACAGGCUCUUGAUACAUCUACAUUAUAGACACUAGGUUUAGCAUACAUAGUAAUAUGUGAUAUGAGCCCUGAUUAGAGACUCAACUCUCCUCUUUAUUAAUGUUGAGCAGUGGCUUUUCUCCUUCCUCUGGAGAGCUGUGGAUCCUAACUGAAAUGUGACACUGCUUUUCUGACAGAACCUUUUGUGGAUCCUUACUGAGCAGCUCAAAAAUCCAUAGGGUUUAGUGGACCAAAGUGAACCAAGAGAACAUAGAUAAGCUUCAAAAUUAGCAAUUUGGCUAUAUUUGUGUAUUAACAGCUGUUAAUAUGUAACUUCCACUGGUAAAUGGAUGUAUAGUCAUUAUUUUGUGCAUUAGGAUUCAGUCUCUUUUACACAUGAUGCAGCGCCAAAUGCAGAGAAUUUAGGAUUUCUGCUAUUUGGAAAGGCAACUGAACAGAAAUAUUUUCAGAGAUACCUUUGGAGUCCACCACAAAUGGCACUCAAAGCUUACAUGAAAUUAUACAAUCGGCUGCCAACACCUCUCUAAACAUCACUGUUAGAAAAAGGUAGACAUGUUUGAAGGUGUAGAGAGAAAACCACAUGUUGUGUAAGUUCUGGAGGCUCAACAGCCAUGAGAAAAGACUCCUGUGCAUUCCCUUAUGUGACAUCAGGUUAGCUUGCAAAAUGCAGCAAGAUUUCUGCUCUCACAGAAAGACCUUUUCUCUGGUGCUGCCACCAUAGAAUUGAGGAAAGGCAAACACAAUCCAGGGCUAUUGCAGCUGUCCACCGACCUGAAGAUGCCAUGGCAUGAAACAAGUUUUGGUUUUUACCAAACCCGACUCAGCUCAAAUAGUGUGCCUUGUCCAAUGUCCUUGUGCUGCUCUCUGGAAUUUUAUGUGCUGCUUACCAGUGAGUGCUGUACUGCAGCCCAUGCUUUCUCCAGGCCAGCCAUGAGAAAUCCCUCUUUAUCCAACCUGUAAUGUGACUGACUGGUAUUUAAUUGGCAGGAGUUGUACAGGAAAGCUGACUGAACAGCGGCUCAGGCUCUAUGUCUAGAGCCUAGACAUAACAUCGUGUUUCCAGCCUUGGGAAAAUGUGGGAAGAAGAAUUGGGAGAGAGAAAGGGAAAAAUCCAGUUAAGUCCUCUAGGGUAAAUCUCUAGCUUCCUUUUCUACUGGGUACCUAGGCAAUGGAACUGUAAGUAUUUGCAGAAGAACAAAUUAGUUGAGGGAAAUAACAUGCACAAAAGGUGUGUGUUUCAAGCAGCUGAUGAUGCAGUUGGCAGUGAGCUCUUCCAUGGGACCACCAAGAAGGAAGGGGACAGAGCUCAGGCCUAAAGAAGCAACUCUUAUGUUUUCCACCUACAUCAGGGAAUAAUCCAGUCACCAGUCUCUGCAGCCAUUCCAGCUUCUUCUGCCUUUUGAAUGCUUCUCCACAAAUAUUUGCAUGCCAAAAGUUGGCAGCUGCAAAUUGUCUGAAUGCCCUAGCAGCUGGGAGGUGACCCACCUGGGUUUCAGCUCCCCUUGCCCCAAGUGCAGGCCCUCUGAGCAGCACGAUCAUCUCUGGUGCAUUGGCACUACUGAUGUGAGUUCUGUUGCUAUUUAGCCUCUUCAAGAUAGGUUUUGCUCUGGUGAGAAUCCAGGAGGAGCAAUAAAUUAAUCAGUUUAUCCGUUAUAGGACUUAAAUACCUGAAGUAUAAAAUACUAUAAUUCCCUAGAACUGAAGCUGAGGUGUUGAAACAUCUCCAGCUGGGACAAAGUGAACAGAGUCUGAUAAGCUGCAGUUUGGCUCUGUUUGCAGCGGAGAUACCAGUCUGGAAAACUGCACAGUGUGCUGUUGUAACAGACCUGUAAUUAGUAUGUGAAUACCACUUAUAGCAUAUCUGAGGGUAAAAAGAACACACCACCUCAUCUCUCUUAAUCUUUUGCAGGCUCUUGAUCUUUACCUCUUUAUGAAGUUGUGGGUAGUCUUCUAAUUAAAACUCCCAAUUAUGCAUUUGACAGAGAUUCUGAAGGCCAGCAAGCUGUAAUGUUGGAUGCCAAUUGAUUAUGGAAUGUCUCUGCAAAUUUACAGCCCUGUGAUCCACCCUGUAUCAAUAUUAUAGUUGGAUGUCUUCUGCAGCUGUGCAUAAUCAGCAUCUUAUGAAAUGCCCAGCAUCCCUACAUGCUGUGUGUAACAGUUUCUAGAGAGCUGGAUCACAGUGUAAGUGCUGCAUGUAUGGGGGAGCGGAGGUGACUUUUGCUGGUACCACCUACAAAAGGGGUUAAGCCUCACAAGGGGACACCAGGGAAUCUCUCAGGCAAACAAAUCCUUUGCGAUGCUCUAGCUGGAACAGCUCUUCUGCAGCAGGCCUGUAUUUAGUAGGAGUGAGUAACCAGGGAUGUCAUGGGUGCAAUUAAAACACUGUUUUCAACACAAAUCAAAAACAUAUCAUGAUAAAGCUAUGAUGGAGAAAAUUACCCUAUCCCAGCCAAAUCCAGUAUAGCCUUCUGAAGGGAGAACUUGCAGUCGUUGUCUGUGUCUUGCUUUGUGCAUGCUGUAGUUACAGCCCAGCUGACCUGCAGCCUGGCUGGGGUUUGAACAGAUGCACAGAGCAGCUCGCUGGAGCAAGGUGGGAGUGGGACAGCAGCUGAGUUACCUUAGUCCUUUGCAGGCCAAAGAAUUAGCCUGGGCAGAGCACCCUUCAGGUCUGCAGUGGUCUUCGGUGUCUGCCCUGAACUGAAUUGCAUGAUUCAAGCAUUCACGACUUUUGCAAAGUGCAGCUUGGUGAUGGAGAAUCAAAGCUAGGAAUGUUUUGUAUUUCUGUUUGGGGUAGCUGUAGGUUCUUCUUUGCAUUUACCAUAUAGCUACCUGGAAUUAAAGGGCAUAGAGGCUUUCUCUGCUCUUCCUAACAAAGGGAAGCUUCAGGUUCUACCAUCCAAACCUCAGAUGAGGCAGGAGAGCCCUGGUAAUGUUGCAGCUGUAUUAAUUUGCCUCAUUUAGAACAUAUCACAAAAAAGUUUGGGGUUUAGAAAGAAAAGAUGUGUCUAGAAAUUAUCUCUUCAUUUGUGUUUAUUAUAAUAUUGUGUAAAAUGCAUGCUCAAUUGCUGCUGAAUUGUUUUAAUUAAUUACAUUAUACCUUGAACAACUGGUAAAAAUGUAUACAUGUUAGAGCUGAAACCUGGAACUUCAUGUCUGAAGGUGCUUGUGUUGUCUGGGAAUCCAGGCAAGGCUUUGAGGCACUAAAUGCUUUGCAGUAAAAUGUCCUUUGAAAGAAUUUGGACUCCAGCAAAGGAGCUAAUAUACGCCACCAUCACCCUCAAAAACACCCAAAACCCGCACUGAGUGUCAGUCAGCGCUGUCAGGAAUGUACUAGCAGGAGCUCUGCUUUUUUGUUGCUACUCAAACCCAGAUGUAUUUGUAGCUUUGUUUAUAGUCCUUUCAUAUAUUUGAAGGUGUUCCCCCAGCUAUUGACAAUAGAACCCUAUCUCUGCUUAAGUCCUAGCCAGAAUGUGUUUUCUCUUCCUACACCUAUUCCUUUGGGGAUUUGGCUUGUGCCGUCCUGCAGAGCCUCUGGAAGCCAAGGCUUGCAGGUAGUGUCACAGUCAGCUGGGCUCCCAGUUGGGCUCUCAGGCUUCAGGAGAGAACGGAAAUGGCAACUUAUGCCCUCUUCUGCUUCAUGCUCCAGUUGGCCUUGGCUCUCCCAUUUAGCAGAACAGGUACUUUUAAUGUGGUUUUGAAUUGAGGGUCACAAAUUACUCGUCAAGCGAUUUGCCUAUAUUAUGUUGCACUUUAGACUUUUGUUCUCAAAGGUGAACAUUAGUAUAUUUAUGAUCUUCUGAGGGAUAAAACCAGAAUUUAAUAGGACUUGCUAUAUAGAGCAAAUGAGGUUGCAGUGCACUUUCCCUCUGUUAUAUAUUAAGCUGGUGUUAUUAAGUGUUAACUUAACAACUUAACAAUGUAUUGUAUGGACAGCUAAAAGGGGCCAGGAAAAGUCUUUGUGUAAAACAUGUAAACAGCUAGGUUUUUGU